AUAAGUAAGAUCACUCUUACUAGUAGAUAUGCACAGGAAUAUCGAAUUUCAUGUAUAUUCGAGACAUUCAAUUUCAACCAAAAACUUUCCAGGAAACGUUAUUGGUACCUUCGACUUCAUCCUCUAUUACUUCUACACUUUUACUUUGUAAUUGCCCUUGAUGAGAUUUGCCUUCCGUGAAAUCUCUUUUUCGAGACAAAGCAUUCGUUCUGAACCCAUUAGAUCCUAUAGAAAGACGAGAUUAUUGUAUCUAACAAGUGUAAAUGUUUCUGUUAAUCGUCCUCUAACUGGAAAUUCACGAUUCAACCCGCUAUUUCAAUUAUUUUACCGAUAAGACGAUCCAGUAAGAGUAGACUGUAUCUCUUUUCAACUCAAUCCAGGUCUCAACUAAACCAGAUACAUAGGCAAGCAACAAGAGUCAACUUGUGAAACUACACAAGACGUUAAACUCGAGGAAGAUGAAAGUACGAAGUCUGCUUGUGACGCGAGUUAACUUCAAACGCUCGAAACGACAAGAUUUCAACUCGGUCGGUUGAUGACAGCUUUGUUACCGACUGUGCCAUACCGGUUCCAUGUGCAAAAACAUUCGGUACUUACCUCCUUGCGGAGAUGCUACGUCGCCGAAAAUCAAGCUAAGAGAAAUUCAUAAAACAUAUCUCUCUCGUGCUUUUACAAAUUACAAGAAAUACGUUGCUUUAGUAAGUACUUAUCAUAAUUGAUGUCUAUUUCAGAUACGAAACAGUUACAAGAUGAACAAAAUAAAAGAUUCGAGGAAAAACUGAGGAAGAAAUAAUCUAACCAAUAUUCCAAUAUAACGAGGGAACAAACAUUAGUGGAAUAACUCGAAAGUUAAGAUAAACAGAAUUUAUAAUGGAAAUUUCUUUUCAUAAUCGGUCGAGUUUUACGAAACUUCCUACGUAUUUUAAUCCUGGAUUCACGAGUUAUGGUUAACCUGGUUGCUGUUGAAUUAACCGGAAAAUAAGACGAAACAUCGAAAUUUCGCAAGUUUUUAAAUUAUAAUUCUCACUGCGUAGUGUGUAGCAAUUAACGUUUCCAUUCUUCUAAUAUUUCUUUUUCAAUUUAAAUUAUUUUUAAUUUAAAAUAUAGAAAAAAAGAAAGUAAAAACAAUUAAAAUUAACUUUUUAUUUAUAUUUUAAAUACUAUAUAUAAUAAUGGAUCGAUAAAAUAAUACAAAUUAAAAUGAAUUUGAAGUCGGAACACAAACUUAAAUGUAUAUUGUUAUAAAAUAAAAAUUAAUUAAUAUUUAUAUUCAAAAAACAUUCUGGUUUUUAUGUGGCGUAUUUCUGAAAAACAAGAUCGGAGGAAACGAUGAACGAUGCAAACAACGACAACAAAUAAUUAUUUCCAAAAUGAAUUGAGAAGGAGUUAAAGUUCUCAGUUUAGGAGACCACUGGAAAUUAGCUAACUUUUCCGACGGUUUCUCCAGGAUAAACUAAUUUCGAGCACCAGAAACGAAUCACUGUUCAUCAUAAUGCGAACUCUGCGACAUUCACCAGUCGAAACACGAAUCCGGACGGUCUGUCCAGCUGUUUAACGGUAAACAAGCCGAUUUAGCUUGACCCAACCUAUCCUACAAAUCCUUAUUAGAGCGACACUUGGCUAAUUGCGUACUAGUUCUAUUGUGCAAGAGAGCACACACUGCGAAGUGCUCUCGAACUGUUACGAGGUUUAGAUAAAGCGAUAAUGAAUGGCUCGGAAUACUGUUUGUCCCCUAAUGAAAACUCCUGUUGUUGGAAAACUGGGCCGUUACGUUCCCUCAUAAUUAUAAUUACGUGUUUCCAGAUUCGUUUUAAGUUUCGAGCACCGAAUCGCUCUCAUUUUUAAUUAAUCC
Long non-coding RNA from Apis florea (little honeybee), 1852 nucleotides. The record is from RefSeq and is a predicted model, not a curated record. NCBI's taxonomy places the organism in Eukaryota, Metazoa, Arthropoda, Insecta, Hymenoptera, Apidae.